This 710-nucleotide long non-coding RNA is filed under the name Anas platyrhynchos platyrhynchos (common mallard). RNAcentral's name for it is "lncRNA (ENSAPLG00000025848.1)". The record is from RNAcentral. Lineage: Eukaryota; Metazoa; Chordata; Aves; Anseriformes; Anatidae.
AAAAAAAAAGAAAAAAGAAUUCUUUGAAUAAUGGAACUAUGUCUGAGUUUCAGAUGUAGAAGUUGUUCAAGGUCAGUUACACUUCUUCAUUGGCAAGGCAGUUUGGUCCUUUUUAACCACCAGUUUUAAUAUUUUGCAAAGCUUUAUACACUACAAGUUUUUUUUUUUUUUUUUUUUUUUUUUUAAACACACGUUCUGCAAGGAAAAUCAAAUGGUUGAACAGAGCCCACUCUAUGUAAUGGCUUCCAGGUGUGGUCACAACCACAAAUGAUCUGGUCAAGAGUAGCAGCCAUUUACUCCUGAGAAGCAGUGCCUGGCCUUGUGUACUCCUAGUUCAUUGCAGAGAGGAAAUAUAACAGUAUUUAAUCAUGUUGGGAACAUGCCUGUUACCCAUUGCCACCUCUUAGCUGAGACUGGUAGCGUUCCAGGGGAAGGUCAGCGGUUUUCUUGAGGAAUGCUACCUCCGGAGACAAAUCAUCUCCUUUUCCUGGGUGGUGGAAGGAUGCUUUGGUGCAGAGAAGUGUGUUGCUGACCAGACCUCCUCCAGAAUCUGACCGGCAUCCCAGAGGUUGUCUCGGGAUGUUGGUCCAGUGUGCGAGGCAGAAUUAUUUUCUAAAUGAAAAAAGCAUUUCUUCAAGUGAGAUAUUGACCAGCUAUUGGCAGCUAGUAUCUAAAAUUAUCCCUAUACAGUGGACACAAGUGAAAACGCA